Molecule: ribosomal RNA, 253 nt
Filed under: uncultured bacterium
Lineage: Bacteria
Description: partial 16S ribosomal RNA
Rfam family: Bacterial small subunit ribosomal RNA
Source: RNAcentral
UACGUAGGGUGCGAGCGUUGUCCGGAAUUAUUGGGCGUAAAGGGCUCGUAGGCGGUUUGUCGCGUCGGGAGUGAAAACCCAGGGCUUAACCCUGGGCUGGCUUCCGAUACGGGCAGACUAGAGGUAUGCAGGGGAGAACGGAAUUCCUGGUGUAGCGGUGAAAUGCGCAGAUAUCAGGAGGAACACCGAUGGCGAAGGCAGGUCUCUGGGCAUUAACUGACGCUGAGGAGCGAAAGCAUGGGGAGCGAACAGG